UUCGGCACCAUCUAGCAGCAGCACCGUGAAGCUCAUGCGCAGCCUCCGAAAUGCAUGGCGCGCCGGUGUGUACAAAUGCUCAGAAGUGCAUCAUGUGGCAGUUGGGCUCCUCCUCAUCUCCUCCUCCCUCGCGCUUCUGUCUGGACAAGUAGUCCACGUGCGGCCUUCAAGACGAGAAGCGGGGCGUGGUUUCAGAGCCUCUGGUGGAUAAAUCUCUUCGUAUCCUGACUUGGAGCCUGGUUUUCAUCUGUCACUCUACUUGGCUGCAUACCAUUUUCAUCUCCAAGGGAAAGCUACAGAAGCGGGCGAGCUGGUGGCCUCCAAAAUCACAGUGAAGUGGUUGCUGCCAUAUGAAUUUGUUACAACUCUCCAAUGAAAAAUGGUAACAGAACAGCGGACCCCAAUGCUACAUCUAUGGCUGAAUAUGUGUUGCUUGAACUACAAAAUGUGGGCUGUUUUUUGUUAUAGAUGCACGCAUCUGAUGACAAGGCAAAUUUUUCAAUGAUGUGGCCUCUUGCUUCACAGCGUGGGCUACCGCAUAGUAGGUUAUAAGCACUGAGGUCGCCUACUAAUAUGUAUGGCUCCGGCAAUCAAUCAACUAGGUUCUCCAAAUCUGAGGCAACAAGUUUUUGAUCUGGUGGAAUGUAGAUGGAACAGAUAGUUACUAGCCUUUUUAGUAAUAUGAAAUGGACAGAUACUGCUUCCAUAGAGGUCUGCAGUAGCAAAUUCUGGCAGGGAACAAAUCUCUGUGCUAUAAUAGCAAUGCCAUCAGCUGAUAUGUGGCUGCCUUCGCAGUCUUUUCGGAGUGUUAAAAACUUAUACCGAACUUUUGUGUUUUCUGGAUUUGGUCUAGGAGUGUGUCUCUUGGACACAAAGUAUAUAUGGUUGAAAUUCAUGGAGCAGUUCAUUUACGUUAUCUGUGUUGUGCGAUAAUCCCCUAACA
Dermacentor albipictus is the source of this 943-nucleotide long non-coding RNA. RefSeq lists it as uncharacterized. NCBI's taxonomy places the organism in Eukaryota, Metazoa, Arthropoda, Arachnida, Ixodida, Ixodidae. The record is from RefSeq and is a predicted model, not a curated record.